UAACUGUUUGGAAAUGUUAUUUGCUUUCUGGCUGAGCAUUUUCAAAUCUAUAAGCAUUUCUUGUUUGAAAGGGUUUUGAGUCUGCUCCCAAGAAGGGAAAUGAAGAAGCGACUACUUCAUGUGCAUCCUGUAACAAUGACAGAACAGCUGGCACACCCGUAUUAUCAGAGCCCACAUGCAGAAGAAKCCAAAGAACAAAACGCCGGCUUGUGGAUGAAAUGUUCGCAGAAGGGACAGUGGGUGUGAGUAAGUCAAAAAGUAAAUUUAUUUUUAUUUUUUACAUGUA
Long non-coding RNA from Exaiptasia diaphana, 286 nucleotides. RefSeq lists it as uncharacterized. The record is from RefSeq and is a predicted model, not a curated record. Lineage: Eukaryota; Metazoa; Cnidaria; Anthozoa; Actiniaria; Aiptasiidae. The transcript has 3 exons.